CAAAGGUUAAUUCCGGUGGCGGAUGGGCAUGCGUCGCAUUAGUUAGUUGGCGGUGUAACGGACCACCAAGACGACGAUGCGUAGGGGUUCUGAGAGGAAGGUCCCCCACACUGGUACUGAGACACGGACCAGACUCCUACGGGAGGCAGCAGUGAGGAAUAUUGGUCAAUGGGCGGGAGCCUGAACCAGCCAAGUCGCGUGAGGGAUGACGGCCCUAUGGGUUGUAAACCUCUUUUGCCGGGGAGCAAAGUGCCGCACGUGUGCGGUUUGGAGAGUACCCGGAGAAAAAGCAUCGGCUAACUCCGUGCCAGCAGCCGCGGUAAUACGGAGGAUGCGAGCGUUAUCCGGAUUUAUUGGGUUUAAAGGGUGCGUAGGCGGACGCUUAAGUCAGCGGUAAAAUUGCGGGGCUCAACCUCGUCGAGCCGUUGAAACUGGGUGCCUUGAGUGGGCGAGAAGUACGCGGAAUGCGUGGUGUAGCGGUGAAAUGCAUAGAUAUCACGCAGAACUCCGAUUGCGAAGGCAGCGUACCGGCGCCCAACUGACGCUGAAGCACGAAGGCGUGGGUAUCGAACAGGAUUAGAUACCCUGGUAGUCCACGCAGUAAACGAUGAAUGCUAGUUGUCCGGGGCGAUUGA
RNAcentral lists this ribosomal RNA (635 nucleotides) under uncultured bacterium. RNAcentral describes it as "bacterial SSU rRNA". It matches the Rfam family "Bacterial small subunit ribosomal RNA", at positions 202 to 835 of the family's 1533-position model. The record is from RNAcentral.